GAUUCUUUUUGCAUUGCAUUCGCAUUCUUUGGAGUUUGAUGUUCAAACACGAAAAAAUGUUCAAGGUCCUCUUUAUGUUAAGUGGAUUGGUUCUUUCAUUCUUCUCGAAGCUGGGUACCUUCUUGUUCCUGUCUAUAGCGAUUCUUAUUCCUUGUCUAGUUAGUAGGAUAAUUCUUGAUUUGCAUAGUUAAAUUUUAGAUUAGUUGAUGUUUUGAAUUGCAUUCACUUUUCCUGCAAUUUCUUUUACCUUUUAGACCUUGUAUAAGUUUCAUUUCAAUUUUCGUUUAGUGUUGUAGUGAUGUCAUUUCUAGCUUAGUUUGUUAUUUUAUUCGGCUUAGUCAUAGAGGGAUAGUUAGCUUUUAAAUGCGGACAGAUUUGGCCUAUGUUGCUUGGUUAGUCUAUAACUUUCUCUAUAGUUAUCUAAUUGAGUUUAUUCUUUUUGCAUUGCAUCACUGAUUCUUUGGAGCUUGAUAUUCAAACCCCAAAAAAUGUUCCAGCUGCUCUUUAUGCCAAGUGGUUUGGUUCUUUCAUUCUUCUGGAAGCUGGUCCUUUUUUUCAUUAACAGCAAGUUAUUGUCCAAAGAGGAGCCAGGCCUUUUCUGGAAUCACUUCCAGAAAAUAUCAAAGUAGACCUUGAAUCAUGCUGUAAGUCUCUAAAGUCCCGGAGGGAAGUGUUCUUGGGUCGAAAAUGUAACUUGUUUACUUGAAUCAUUUUAAUGUUAUCAUUUGCAGAGCUUGGUAACUUGUUUACCUAAUCUCCGUAAUAAGUCCUGGCUUGCCAUGCAUAAGCUUAGGCAAGAGGUGGAGU
RNAcentral lists this small RNA (807 nucleotides) under Vigna angularis var. angularis. RNAcentral's name for it is "Non-protein coding transcript". Lineage: Eukaryota; Viridiplantae; Streptophyta; Magnoliopsida; Fabales; Fabaceae. The record is from RNAcentral.